This 446-nucleotide ribosomal RNA is filed under the name uncultured bacterium. Its description in RNAcentral is "partial 16S ribosomal RNA". It matches the Rfam family "Bacterial small subunit ribosomal RNA", at positions 338 to 795 of the family's 1533-position model. The record is from RNAcentral.
CCUACGGGCGGCUGCAGUCGAGAAUCAUUCACAAUGGGGGAAACCCUGAUGGUGCGACGCCGCGUGGGGGAAUGAAGGUCUUCGGAUUGUAAACCCCUGUCAUGUGGGAGCAAAUUAAAAAGAUAGUACCACAAGAGGAAGAGACGGCUAACUCUGUGCCAGCAGCCGCGGUAAUACAGAGGUCUCAAGCGUUGUUCGGAAUCACUGGGCGUAAGGCGUGCGUAGGCUGUUUCGUAAGUCGUGUGUGAAAGGCGCGGGCUCAACCCGCGGACGGCACAUGAUACUGCGAGACUAGAGUAAUGGAGGGGGAACCGGAAUUCUCGGUGUAGCAGUGAAAUGCGUAGAUAUCGAGAGGAACACUCGUGGCGAAGGCGGGUUCCUGGACAGUAACUGACGCUGAGGCACGAAGGCCAGGGGAGCGAAAGGGAUUAGAUACCCCUGUAGUC